AAUAAGUGCAGCCGUGAGUAUCCGUGUUCAACGUUUGAUUGUUCGUCUUAUUUAAAAAAAAUAUAAUUUUUUAAAAAAUUAGUCACACAUAAAGUACUAUUCAUGUUUUAUCAUUUAAUAACAUAAAAAUACUAAUAAAAAAAUUCAAAUAAGACAAACAGUCAAACGUUGGACAUAAACAGCACAAAACUGUACUUAUU
RNAcentral lists this microRNA precursor (200 nucleotides) under Oryza nivara. Its description in RNAcentral is "MIR812 microRNA precursor family". It matches the Rfam family "MIR812 microRNA precursor family". The record is from Rfam by way of RNAcentral. Lineage: Eukaryota; Viridiplantae; Streptophyta; Magnoliopsida; Poales; Poaceae.